Molecule: ribosomal RNA, 448 nt
Filed under: uncultured organism
Description: partial 16S ribosomal RNA
Rfam family: Bacterial small subunit ribosomal RNA
Source: RNAcentral
ACUCCUGCGGGAGGCAGCAGUGGGGAAUAUUGGACAAUGGGCGCAAGCCUGAUCCAGCCAUGCCGCGUGAGUGAUGAAGGCCCUAGGGUUGUAAAGCUCUUUCACCGGUGAAGAUAAUGACGGUAACCGGAGAAGAAGCCCCGGCUAACUUCGUGCCAGCAGACGCGGUAAUACGAAGGGGGCUAGCGUUGUUCGGAUUUACUGGGCGUAAAGCGCACGUAGGCGGACUAUUAAGUCAGGGGUGAAAUCCCGGGGCUCAACCCCGGAACUGCCUUUGAUACUGGUAGUCUUGAGUUCGAGAGAGGUGAGUGGAAUUCCGAGUGUAGAGGUGAAAUUCGUAGAUAUUCGGAGGAACACCAGUGGCGAAGGCGGCUCACUGGCUCGAUACUGACGCUGAGGUGCGAAAGCGUGGGGAGCAAACAGGAUUAGAAACCCCAGUAGUCCCAUG